AGUGAACGCUGGCGGUAGGCCUAACACAUGCAAGUCGAACGGCAGCACAGUAAGAGCUUGCUCUUACGGGUGGCGAGUGGCGGACGGGUGAGGAAUACAUCGGAAUCUACUUUUUCGUGGGGGACAACGUAGGGAAACUUACGCUAAUACCGCAUACGACCUACGGGUGAAAGCAGGGGAUCUUCGGACCUUGCGCGAUUGAAUGAGCCGAUGUCGGAUUAGCUAGUUGGCGGGGUAAAGGCCCACCAAGGCGACGAUCCGUAGCUGGUCUGAGAGGAUGAUCAGCCACACUGGAACUGAGACACGGUCCAGACUCCUACGGGAGGCAGCAGUGGGGAAUAUUGGAUAAUGGGCGCAAGCCUGAUCCAGCCAUACCGCGUGGGUGAAGAAGGCCUUCGGGUUGUAAAGCCCUUUUGUUGGGAAAGAAAAGCAGCAGGUUAAUACCCCGCUGUUCUGACGGUACCCAAAGAAUAAGCACCGGCUAACUUCGUG
RNAcentral lists this ribosomal RNA (492 nucleotides) under uncultured bacterium. RNAcentral's name for it is "partial 16S ribosomal RNA". It matches the Rfam family "Bacterial small subunit ribosomal RNA", at positions 29 to 507 of the family's 1533-position model. The record is from RNAcentral.